AAAAGAUUAAAUUGUCCUAUAUGACAUAGAACAACCAAGAGUUUUAAAUGCACGAUUUAAUAAUAAUUUAAUGCGAUUAAAAAUGUUUAUGUAGUUUUCUAAGAUGUUUAUUUAUGUAAAUGCUGUGUGUGUAUGCUGCGGGUGCUGAACGUUACUGCCCCUUUAAAUCCGUUGGAGUGACCUGAGUUACCAUGGAUACGAGGCUACUAGGAACAACAGAAAGCGACAAGCUCCGUGUCUCUUAUGGUUUUCUUCACUUUUUCAGAAGUGACAAAAUAACCCCAUAAUAGAAAAUAAGCUCAAGAUUUCUGCAUUUUCGAAUGGAGCUGCAGUGCUGACAGAGAGAUGUUGUAAACUCAGAUUUGUCUAUGCUGAUGGCCAUGCAGCAGAGUUCAAGCAAACCUGUCAGAAAACAUCUCUAAGGGGCUAUGUAUGAACCAUAUGGCUAGAUACCCAUACAAGUCACAGAAGCUCCAGUAUGGAUCCAGCCUCACUUGUAAAGACUUCAGAUGACGCCUACACUCUCAGAGACUUCAGAUGAUGGCAACUAGAUGGACAUACAAGACUGCCAAACAUUAUAUAUAUUGCACUCACUGCCUCAAAGCAUAAGUUUGCAGAUUUUCAACCCAUGUUAUAUUUUUACAAUAAAUUGGGGUAUUUGAAUGCACAAUGUUAAUGCUUUAACUUAAAUUCCCAAUUAGUUCUUGACAAUACUCUGCCAGAUGACAGAUUACAUAUAUUACAGACAUUGUAACAAUACAAAGUGGGUUGGAAAUCUGUAAACUUCCUCUAUAAUCAUAAUUGUCUGUUUAACUGAGCAUGACUUAAUACAAGGCAUGUGUUAUCUUAGAGCUAUAUGAUUGCUGUAUUAACAUCACUUCGUUACUUAAUGAGAUUUAUGCUUAUCCCUAGUUUCACAGACGAGGCUUAAGCCCAUAGUCCUUGACUAUAGUCCUAGAUGUUUGAGCUGUCUCUAUUGAAAAGAACUUUCAAUGUGAGAUUUUAAAAUAAGCCAGUGCCAGUGAUUUGUCUUAUGAUAGAGACCAGUAACAAUUUUUUUCUAAGGCAUGUUUAUUAAAGAUGCUUAAACAUCUUAUUUUAACUAAGGCAUAGUCUAGCUUUAGCUAAGCCGUGUCUGUGAAACCAGGCCUUUAUUCUUAAUGCAUUAAGAUAUGUAAGUUGAAUUUAAAGAUAAAAUUCUGUUUACACUUUAUUGGUAAAACAUACCAAGCAGAUAUGCACAGAAAAUAAACCAAAUGCGUUAAAUUACA
This is a non-coding RNA of Misgurnus anguillicaudatus (oriental weatherfish), 1271 nucleotides long. The record is from RefSeq and is a predicted model, not a curated record. Lineage: Eukaryota; Metazoa; Chordata; Actinopteri; Cypriniformes; Cobitidae.